GCCUUCCCACUAAGCAGGAAGACCUACGUGGGACUCCAUCCCAGGACCCUGGGAUCAUGACCGGAGCCGAGGACAGAUGCCUAACUGACUGAGCCACCCAGAGAGAUAACACCUCAUUUAACCCAAAUAACCUUAGAGGUGAAUACUAUUUCAUUGUCUUCAUUUUACCAAAGAAGCAACAAAAUGGUUCACAGUCAUGACGUCACCUAGUCCCCACGCAGAGGUGGGUGUUUUCAGCACCUGUUCUAAAGAUGAGCAGACAAUCUCAGGGGUUAUGACUUGUCCAAGUGCACUGCUAAGUGAGUGCAGAGCUAGAACCCAAACCCAAGACUUCUGUUUUCAAAGCUGAAAUGCUUAUGAGGAUUCUGCUCAUUUGUAAUUUGGAAGUUGGAAUUGGGCUCAGGGAAGAGGAGCUUGCUGUGAUGAACUUGAAACCUGGGCUCCAAGCCUAUUAUUUAUUUUACUUCUGGAAAAACCAGCCCCAAGUUGAUACUGGCCUUUCUCAAGCACUCUCCAGCUCCCUGACUUUUCUGGCAAUCAGUCUGGCUAAAAAUGGAGUGUUAAUUUGUCUCAUUGUACUAUCAAAAAGGAAGCUAGACAGAGGUGAGAAGAGAAGCUUCCUGACACAUAUUUAAGGAAAAAAGACCUUCAUUCCCAACUGUACAAGAGGAUCCUUUCCAAUCAGUUUACACUAGUCACAGUAAAUCUAAGAACAGUGUGUUCUUAAACAUAUUUGGAAUGGCCCACAUAGAAGUGGUUGGCUCUUGUAUUAUAUAUGACAAGUGGGCUAAGAAGGGAAUUAUACACACCCAGGGGAUAAGUUAAGUUGACCUGACCAAGUAAACCCAGUCUUCUACUCUCCUGGCUUCUGAUGCAAGUGAAAACCAAGGGAGGGAGAGGGGGAUUUAAGUAUUCCAGGCAAGACCACAUUGCAGUCCCUGCCCUGAAGCCAUCUCCUCUUGUGCUUCCCUCCAGUGCCUGGAACCAGAGAGAUCACCACCACCACCACCACCACCACCACCACCAGCCCCCACCCUGACACAAGGAAGCAGAUCACUCUGGCCAGGCACAGGGUCUCCUUUAAGUGGCUGUGGGAAUCGUGUGCACAUAUGUUUGCAUGCUUGAAGCCUGUUCAUUUAGUCACAGGAGGAAAAGAGGAGGGGGACAGAAACUCAGGGCAUCACAGUACCCGCUGAACAGCGUGGGCAGCUCUGUUGCUGAUUUCUGCUUUAUGCUGCUUUCUUGACCCAACUGUCAUGCAUGUUUUUUAUUACUCUGUGGAUUUGUCUUGCACUGAGGGGUGGGAAAAGGCUGGUGAAGCAAUGAUCAUGUAAGUGAAAGCAGUGAUUCUCUGGUGUCCGCUACAAAUUUCCCACAGUCUUUGCUAAUGCCUUGGGGUCCUCCAGGGUUUAGAAUUACAGCUUUCAGUAAAUAUUCUUAGACUCGCUCUCAACACGAGCUGCAGUGAAACAGCACCAAGUUUGCCAUGAGAGUCAUUCACUAAGUCGUGGGUCCAAACAUUGCUCAGAACUGAGGAGUGACAAUGACAGUAGCAGCUAGCAUUUGUUGAGUCUUUAACCCAUGGUAAGUACUCUUCUAAAAUCACUUGACAUGAAUUCACUGAUUUCAUCCUCAUAACAAUGCUAGCCAGAAAGCGCAAUCAUUAUCCACUUUGGGUAAAUGGGGAAACUGAGGCACAGAGAGGUUACGAGACUUACCAAGGUCACACAAAUCAUAGGUAGAGGAUGUAAGACUCAGACCUACAUAGUUGGACCCCAACAUCUCUAAGCUCUCCUCUUCCCAGGCCGACGAGAAUGAAAAAAAGGGAGAGUGAAGAGUCAUUAUUUUACACUAACCUUGUCAUCACUAAUUAAAGAAAUGAAACAUUUGUUAAAUAAGAACAAGUACUAAUUCUUUUACAAAUGGGGACAUUUUCUUUAUUUUUUUAUUUACUUUAAAAGAUUUAUUUAUUGGGGUGCUUGGGUGGC
Molecule: RNA transcript, 1988 nt
Organism: Lutra lutra (Eurasian river otter)
Lineage: Eukaryota; Metazoa; Chordata; Mammalia; Carnivora; Mustelidae
Gene name: mitochondrial fission regulator 1-like
Exons: 2
Source: RefSeq, a predicted model, not a curated record